Nothoprocta perdicaria is the source of this 1476-nucleotide long non-coding RNA. RefSeq lists it as uncharacterized. Lineage: Eukaryota; Metazoa; Chordata; Aves; Tinamiformes; Tinamidae. The transcript is spliced from 3 exons. The record is from RefSeq and is a predicted model, not a curated record.
UGAAGAAGCCGCCUCCCUAGUCGCAAGAAAAGACAAUCUCAUUGGAUUCYGGGAAGCUUUUAAAGGAAUACGCGAGCCCCAUCUUCAGAUGGAAGGAUUCCUUUUGAGAUCGAAAACACUUGCACGAGAGCCUACAGAAUUUCCAGUUUUAUGARCCUACGUUCAGAAUGAACGCUGCCUACUCUACCAGCAGAACUCCCUCUGCCAUCUUGCAGUUGCUUUCUUCCUCUUGGUCUCGUUCUUCUCGCUUGAGCCUGCUCUGGGUGAAAUGGAAAGUAUCAGAGGAUGUGCGUAGUAAAAACUUGUGGUUAUUUUCCUGUGAGCUCCUGAAGGUCCUUAUCAAUAGGGUAGCUAAUAAAAUCAAGCAUUUAUUUUAAAAACCACCCCUAUAGAAAAGAGGGAAAAAAAAAAAAAAAGGACUGUUAAAAGAGAUGUUCAUAGACUAGCUAGAAUGUAAGAAAUACCUCUUUUGUAAGGCAGAAGUUUGCUUAGAAUCAGAAGUUUCAACGGAACCAGGAAGCCCCAUGCAGUACAACAAUGACCACAGCAUAAAAAGCUGGGUUCAAUGGCCUCAGGCUGAGAUUUUCUACAAAGCAGGACUGUUCCCUUUUAUAAAUGGGCAAUCUUGAUCUAAGGGACGCUGCAGUGUAUUCCUUUGCUGCACGGCGAGCCAAUUCCCAUGUGGAUUGAACUAGAUCCUGUCCCGUGCUGACGCAGGGGGUGAAGAUCUCAGAGGUUCUCUCCUACCUGUUGGGCUCCUCUCUGAUGCCCUGCAGCUCCUGACGGUCUCUCUUCCCCAGCUCCUUCUCUUCGGCAGCCUCGUGUGCUGAAGCUCUCAUCGCCACUUUCUGACCUGACACCAUGAGUUUCUACGGCAAGAGCAUGUGUUUGCUACAACGUGGCCAGAAUGCGCUUGCCUCAUUCAUUGCUCCGUUUAACACACCGCCAACUUAGGAAAUAAGAGGUUCUUUAGGAAGACAGAGAGAAGACGAGAAAAAAAUAACUGCAGUUACCUGCUGCUGCAGGCAAAGCUCGUCUCCGUCCAGCUUUUCGGAGCUUUUUGUUGCAUUCCUUCAACAGCGGAAAGGCAACCGGAGAUGUUGCCUGAUGAUAAAGAAAUGUAACCUUAAUAUUUAACAAUAAUAAUCUGCAUCUUGAGGUUUCCAUUGCAUUCUAAAGUGAGGAGGGGAAAUUCCGAAUAUAUUGUAUUUCACAGUCCUUUUAAAAUUCUUCAUUUCUUCUGCUUUCUUGUUUAGUAAAUCUUAACGUUGCAUCCGUUCGUCCGUUCCGCUGUCCCGGUGAGUUGCUUCGUGGCUUUGUGCUGAAUGUUCUUGUUGUCAARUGUUGGACAUUUCCAACUGUUUCCUGUACUUUGUUUCACAGUCCUUUUAAAAUGCUGCAUUUCCUCUGCUUUCUUGUUUAGUAAAUCUCAAUGUUGCUUCCGUUCUUCGCUUCUGCAGUCCAAGGAGUUUCUUC